UGGUUAAUUACUAGUGAUCACUGAUCUAGAAUCUGGAAUUUGAAUUGAACACUAAAAUGACCAAAGAAUUGAUUAUUAUUUUUCUAAUUUGUAUUUCUCUCUUUGCACUUGAAUCUAACACCCAAGUUGAUCAAUCAGGAUUCAUUAGCAUAGAUUGUGGAUUUCCUCAAGGUUCCAACUAUACCGAUGCAGCGACUGGACUACACUAUGUAUCCGGUUCAGGGUUCAUCGAUACAGGUAUUAAUAUGGUACUAUCUCGACUUUGUUUCAGGCCACUGGCCUGGAACAACAGUUGUUCACCCUCACAAGCUUUCCCGAAGGAAAAAGAAAUUGCCACACCAUUAGAGUUUCUCAAGGAAAAGGAAAGAAAUACUUGAUCAGGGCAAGAUUUCUGUAUGGAAAUUAUUAUGAUGGGAAAAGUCAACCACCUAAUUUCGAUCUUCAUCUUGGAGUUGACUUUUGGGAAAUAGUCAGGGCUUCAAUUCCGUUACUUAGAGAGAUCAUACACGUUCUCUCCUCGGAUUUUGUACAUGUUUGUCUAGUAGAUACACACCAUUUUUAUCCACACUUGAACUCAGGCUCUUUAACGACACACGCAUGUAUACAACCGUAUCAGGGCCUUGAUCUUGGCUCAACCUCCACUCACUUUGUAAGGUAAAUACUCCUUAUCUAAUACUGAAUGAUACUCAAUUUGAUUAAUUAUCUGGUGAUUCCAUAUAUAUAAAAAUGUGACAGGCUAGUCUCCUGAUGAGCAUUCAUCAUAGAAACUUGAUUUCUGUAGUUGGGUAUUGUGUUGAGGGCACUAACAUUGGUAUCAUUUACGAAUACAUGCCCAAUCGAAGCUUAGACAUCCAUUUAUCAGAUAGAAAUCCCACUCCUUUAACAUGGGAGGAAAGACUUCAAAUAGCGUUGGACGCAGCUCAAGGCACAACCUAGCUCCGGUUUAGAAUAGUUACAUAUUGGAAGUGCUUAAUUUUAAGUGAAAUAAUGAAGGCUUGGAGUAUCUACAUCAUGGUUGUCAGCCACCAAUAAUACACAGAGAUAUCAAGCCUACAAAUAUUCUAUUAGAUAACAAAUUCCACGCAAAGCUUGCUGAUUUUGGUUUGUCAAGAUUUUUCCCAAGUGAAGGGGAAGGUCACGUUACCACUGUAAUCGCGGGCACACAAGGCUACCUUGAUCCUGAGUACUAUAGGUCAAAUCAGCUAACGGAAAAGAGUGAUGUAUACAGUUUCGGUGUUGUUCUUUUGGAAAUAAUAAACAGGGCGUAAUUCAAUAGGAGAACAUGACAAGAUUUAUGUGAUUACGUGGGUGAAUGGCAUGCUUGAGAAAAGAGAUACUGCAAAAGUAGUCGAUCCAAGAAUACGAGGAGAAGUCGGUGUAAGUUGUGGAAUUGGCAAUGGCUUGUGUUUCUCUAGAUCCAACAAGUAGACCAGCUAUGUCUGUCGUAGUCUUGAUAUUAAAGCAAUGUUUAAGAGAGAUGAUUGUCUAUGCCUCGAAGUGAAGUACACGAUGUUUCUAAAUUGGAUAAUUGCCUCCAUACUAAGAUGACAUGACCGUGUGUUUAUUUGGUUGUGAGUGUGAAAGACAAACUACAAUAGUACAUAGUUUCAUUUAACAAAAUUUAUGUACAUUCAUUGUUUCUUUUGUGAUAAUCGGGGCAAACUUGGUAUAACUAUGUACUGUAUUUAGGAGAAAAAUCAACUAGGUAGGUAGACAAGGAUUAAGUCUAGGACAAUGAAUACAUAUGCAUUCGCUGUUGAAACUUGAAGAUGAAUACAUCUGCAACUGCA
Capsicum annuum is the source of this 1790-nucleotide long non-coding RNA. RefSeq lists it as uncharacterized. The record is from RefSeq and is a predicted model, not a curated record. The transcript is spliced from 4 exons. Lineage: Eukaryota; Viridiplantae; Streptophyta; Magnoliopsida; Solanales; Solanaceae.